GUGUCAGCCGCCGCGGUAAUACGGAGGGAGCUAGCGUUGUUCGGAAUUACUGGGCGUAAAGAGUACGUAGGCGGUUAUUCAAGUCAGAGGUGAAAGCCUGGAGCUCAACUCCAGAACUGCCUUUGAAACUAGAUAGCUAGAAUCACGGAGAGGUUAGUGGAAUUCCGAGUGUAGAGGUGAAAUUCGUAGAUAUUCGGAAGAACACCAGUGGCGAAGGCGACUAACUGGACGUGUAUUGACGCUGAGGUACGAAAGCGUGGGGAGCAAACAGGAUUAGAAACCCUUGUAGUCC
RNAcentral lists this ribosomal RNA (292 nucleotides) under uncultured bacterium. RNAcentral describes it as "partial 16S ribosomal RNA". It matches the Rfam family "Bacterial small subunit ribosomal RNA", at positions 505 to 796 of the family's 1533-position model. The record is from RNAcentral.